RNAcentral lists this ribosomal RNA (406 nucleotides) under Acinetobacter sp. BDP-96-2_4-2. Its description in RNAcentral is "bacterial SSU rRNA". It matches the Rfam family "Bacterial small subunit ribosomal RNA", at positions 538 to 943 of the family's 1533-position model. The record is from RNAcentral. Lineage: Bacteria; Pseudomonadati; Pseudomonadota; Gammaproteobacteria; Moraxellales; Moraxellaceae.
GCGUUAAUCGGAUUUACUGGGCGUAAAGCGCGCGUAGGUGGCCAAUUAAGUCAAAUGUGAAAUCCCCGAGCUUAACUUGGGAAUUGCAUUCGAUACUGGUUGGCUAGAGUAUGGGAGAGGAUGGUAGAAUUCCAGGUGUAGCGGUGAAAUGCGUAGAGAUCUGGAGGAAUACCGAUGGCGAAGGCAGCCAUCUGGCCUAAUACUGACACUGAGGUGCGAAAGCAUGGGGAGCAAACAGGAUUAGAUACCCUGGUAGUCCAUGCCGUAAACGAUGUCUACUAGCCGUUGGGGCCUUAGAGGCUUUAGUGGCGCAGCUAACGCGAUAAGUAGACCGCCUGGGGAGUACGGUCGCAAGACUAAAACUCAAAUGAAUUGACGNUNGCCCGCACAANCGGUGGAGCAUGCG